This 495-nucleotide ribosomal RNA is filed under the name uncultured bacterium. RNAcentral's name for it is "partial 16S ribosomal RNA". It matches the Rfam family "Bacterial small subunit ribosomal RNA", at positions 28 to 507 of the family's 1533-position model. The record is from RNAcentral.
GAUGAACGCUGGCGGCGUGCCUAAUACAUGCAAGUAGAACGCUGAGGGAGGGGCUUUCUCUUCUGGAUGAGUUGCGAACGGGUGAGUAACGCGUAGGUAACCUGCCUGUGAGCGUGGGAUAACUAUUGGAAACGAUAGCUAAUACCGCAUGACAACAGUUAUUGCAUGAUAACUGUUUAAAAGGGGCAACUGCUCCACUACCAGAUGGACCUGCGUUGUAUUAGCUAGUUGGUGAGGUAACGGCUCACCAAGGCGACGAUACAUAGCCGCACUGAGAUGGGGAGCGGCCACACUGGGACUGAGACACGGCCCAGACUGCCUCGGGAGGCAGCCGUACGGCAUCUUCGGCCAUGGAUGGAAGUCUGACCGCGAAAAGCCGAGGGAGGGAAGAAGGUUUCCGGAUCGGAAAGCUCGGUUGUAAGAGAAGAAAGAGCGUGAGAGUGGAAAGUUCACACUGUGACGGUAUCUUAUCAGAAAGCGCCGGCUAACUACGUG